CCAACAUAUUAGAUAUCUUUUGUGAAAUAAGUUUUACCUUUUUGGUCAAAUAGAAUAUUUAUUGUUUGGUAUGAUAGCAUGAAUUAAAAACAAAGGAAUCCUGAAGAUGAAACUAUGUCCACCAAUAAGUUGAGCAACGACUAGAACAUGAAAACAUAUCUCAAUCUUACAUAGAACAAGAAAACUAGGUGCAAACUUUUCUUUUUCUUUCCUUUUUUCUUUUUCCUUUUUCUCCCCCAUUUUUCCUUUUUUUUUUUUUUUUUUUAGAGGAGAAUUAGUUCAUCUCCAGACAGUGGAGGCUCUCUAGAGCUGUCCAUCAGCAACUGUCUUUGUGGCAACUAAUUGGCAUACCAGAAAACUUCAUCUAUGUAUUUGCAAUCUGCACAUUAACAGUCAAGAGGAGACAGUAUCGGAGACUACAGAUGCUUCUGUUUGUAACAAUGAGGGUUUUUUAAAGCAGAUGAAGAGCCAAGCAACAGUCUUUUAGUGUUCACAUCUACUGUCUGAUUUUCUUACUAUGCAGGCACAGUAGUGAAUGCCAAUAUAUGAGAAAUACCAGGUUUCCAUGUCACUAAUGAACCAAAAUACUGGAAGAGCAGAGAUGGAUUAUCCAGACUUGAGAGUGAAUAUCCAAAUAAGUAAGAGGUUUUUAAGGUUCUUUCAACCAUCCAAGAGACUAACGAGCGACAGAACUCCUAUGGAAGCCUUUUCAUCUUCAGACUUCCUUGUUAAUUGUACUCCGAUUUGAAAUCUGCAACCCCAAACCCAAGUCAAUCAUUUCAAUGCAGCAACUGCUGUUUCACUGCCUUUGCUGUGUCAAUAAAAUAUCAGUUAUUACUCGAG
Molecule: long non-coding RNA, 843 nt
Filed under: Numida meleagris (helmeted guineafowl)
Lineage: Eukaryota; Metazoa; Chordata; Aves; Galliformes; Numididae
Description: lncRNA (ENSNMEG00000009306.1)
Source: RNAcentral